GAUGAAGAACGUAGUGAAAUGCGAUAAGUAAUGUGAAUUGCAGAAUUCAGUGAAUCAUCGAAUCUUUGAACGCACAUUGCGCCCGCCAGUAUUCUGGCGGGCAUGCCUGUCCGAGCGUCAUUUCAACCCUCGGGACCCUUCGGGGAACCGGUGUUGGGGACCCGUCCGCCGACCCACGGCGGCCGGCCCCGAAAUACAGUGGCGGCCCUGCGGCGACCUCCUCUGCGUAGUAGCGAUACCUCGCAGCUGGAAAGCGGCAGCGGCAACGCCGUAAAACCCCCACUUCUAUGGUUGACCUCGGAUCAGGUAGGAAUACCCGCUGAACUUAAGCAUAUCAAUAAGCGGAGGA
This 349-nucleotide unclassified non-coding RNA is filed under the name soil metagenome. Its description in RNAcentral is "partial contains 5.8S ribosomal RNA, internal transcribed spacer 2, and large subunit ribosomal RNA". The stretch from base 1 to 120 matches the Rfam family "5.8S ribosomal RNA", at positions 35 to 154 of the family's 154-position model. The record is from RNAcentral.